Molecule: ribosomal RNA, 253 nt
Filed under: uncultured bacterium
Lineage: Bacteria
Description: partial 16S ribosomal RNA
Rfam family: Bacterial small subunit ribosomal RNA
Source: RNAcentral
UACGUAGGGCGCAAGCGUUGUCCGGAAUUAUUGGGCGUAAAGAGCUCGUAGGCGGUUUGUUGCGUCGGCUGUGAAAUCCCGAGGCUCAACCUCGGGUCUGCAGUCGAUACGAGCAAACUAGAGUGUUGCAGGGGAGACUGGAAUUCCUGGUGUAGCGGUGAAAUGCGCAGAUAUCAGGAGGAACACCGGUGGCGAAGGCGGGUCUCUGGGCAGCAACUGACGCUGAGGAGCGAAAGCGUGGGGAGCGAACAGG